GAUCCUAGCUCAGGAUGAACGCUAGCUACAGGCUUAACACAUGCAAGUCGCGGGGGCGAGCAUGAAGUCAGCUUGCUGACUUUGAUGGCGACCGGCGCACGGGUGAGUAACGCGUAUCCAACCUGCCUGUUACCACGGCACAGCCCGUCGAAAGGCGGAUUAAUGCUGUAUGUGGUCCUUUGCGGGCAUCUAAUUAGGACUAAAGGUUCAGCGGUAACGGAUGGGGAUGCGUCCGA
This 236-nucleotide ribosomal RNA is filed under the name uncultured bacterium. Its description in RNAcentral is "partial 16S ribosomal RNA". It matches the Rfam family "Bacterial small subunit ribosomal RNA", at positions 15 to 240 of the family's 1533-position model. The record is from RNAcentral.